RNAcentral lists this unclassified non-coding RNA (1050 nucleotides) under Hevea brasiliensis (rubber tree). Lineage: Eukaryota; Viridiplantae; Streptophyta; Magnoliopsida; Malpighiales; Euphorbiaceae. The record is from RNAcentral.
UCCCUUCAGUUUUCUGCAAAAGAGAAUAAACAAGAAAAUGAAACUGAUACUGAUGUAUCUUUAAAGACAAUGGAAAAUUUAGUCUGUCAAUAAUUUGAAACAGAAACAGAAUAAGGUAUAACGAACAACGGAAGUGCGAGGCAAGAAUUACUCAGUUGAGCUAAAAUUUUCUGCUUCAUAAAUAGAGUCAACCAACAUUGUACCACCAAUGUGUAUGAUUAGUAUUCUUCAGGCACACAACCUAGACGUAGGUCAGAUGACUCAGAAUGAAAAAAUGGUAGAUGUUUAACUAAACAUAAAAAUCCUCCAUUUGAGCCACUCUCAUUCAUUAUCUUAGAGUUUAACAUCAGACCUUAAACUAAUCAAAUUGGUAGUUUAAGUGAAAAUAACAUAAUCUAUAAGCAUAGAUUAAAUGCAGAAGUAGCAUAGUAGAUCACCAAAAUUUAAAAUCAAUAUUUAAACUUUUCCUACACAGUGUUGCAAUUAUUUUUUUACCUGAAAUGGAAAACUUGCAAAUUUUUUUUCCAAGACAUUUUUAAAAAUUAAUGUAGCCAGAUAAAAUGGUACAGAUUUAUGUCCUUCAAAAUUAUCUAAGCUAAAACAAUUUUCAUAAUCAAUAAUGUAAAAGUCAAAUAAAAGCAGAAUCAGUUAUGAGCUUAUUGGGAUGCAUGUUUGAUAGCACAUCCUCCUAGGCUAAGACCAUUAAAAGAGACCAAGGAUCCUGAUUAUUUCAGGUAAGCUCCCUGGGUAAUAUUCAAUUCGCACAAGGAAAAGAGAAAAAUUAAUUAGCAAUCAGUACACCUCAAAGAUUGCAGUACCCUAGGGUGACAUUAGUAACCGAGUCUUUUCGCCAUAUCAUCCUCAACACUACUACCAGGUUUGAUUUUCCAACCAGCGAAAGCUUGAGUCAAAUUUUCAAUUCAUUCUCCCAUCCCCAACCAAGAUUAACAAAUACCCCUUCUUUUUAUUCUAAGUUUUUCCACUCUUUUUAAAUCUUUACUCCAAAGUCUGCAGCUGUUGGUCAUAAGAAUUUGGAGUAAAGAUUUAAAA